GGUAUCCUGUCUGAAUAUGGGGGGCCCAUCCUCCAAGGCUAAAUACUCCUGACUGACCGAUAGUGAACCAGUACCGUGAGGGAAAGGCGAAAAGAACCCCGGCGAGGGGAGUGAAAAAGAACCUGAAACCGUGUACGUACAAGCAGUGGGAGCACGCUUAGGCGUGUGACUGCGUACCUUUUGUAUAAUGGGUCAGCGACUUAUAUUCUGUAGCAAGGUUAACCGAAUAGGGGAGCCGAAGGGAAACCGAGUCUUAACUGGGCGUUAAGUUGCAGGGUAUAGACCCGAAACCCGGUGAUCUAGCCAUGGGCAGGUUGAAGGUUGGGUAACACUAACUGGAGGACCGAACCGACUAAUGUUGAAAAAUUAGCGGAUGACUUGUGGCUGGGGGUGAAAGGCCAAUCAAACCGGGAGAUAGCUGGUUCUCCCCGAAAGCUAUUUAGGUAGCGCCUCGUGAAUUCAUCUCCGGGGGUAGAGCACUGUUUCGGCA
This 490-nucleotide ribosomal RNA is filed under the name Shigella sonnei. RNAcentral describes it as "partial 23S ribosomal RNA". It matches the Rfam family "Bacterial large subunit ribosomal RNA", at positions 428 to 920 of the family's 2925-position model. The record is from RNAcentral. Lineage: Bacteria; Pseudomonadati; Pseudomonadota; Gammaproteobacteria; Enterobacterales; Enterobacteriaceae.